CGGGGACUGAGUAGAGCGGCGCACGGGUGAGUAACGCGUGGGUAUCUGCCGGGAGAUCGGGAUAACAGUGGGAGAGCGCUGCUAAUACCGGAUACGUCUGACAAGAGAAAGGUGGCCUCUGAUUCAAGCUGCCGCUCUCGGAUGAGCCCGCGUCCCAUUAGCUUGUUGGUGGGGUAACGGCCUACCAAUGCUCCGAUGGGUAGCUGGUCUGAGAGGAUGAUCAGCCACACUGGGACUGGAACACGGCCCAUACUCGGGACUGGAGGGGGGCANUGGGGAAUAUUGCGCAAUGGGCGAGAGCCUGACGCAGCUACUCCGCGUGAGGCAUGAAUGCCUUCGGGUCGUAAACCUCUGUCAGGAUGGAAUAACCGUCUGGGACUUAACAGGUUCCGGGCCUGACGGUACCUCCAGAGGAAGCACCGGCUGGCUCCGUGCCAGCAGCCGCGGUAAUACGGAGGGUGCGAGCGUUGAUCGGAAUCGCUGGGCGUAAAGCGCGCGUAGGCGGCUUGCCGGGUCGGAUGUGAAGCCCUCGGCUCAAACGGGGAACUGCAUUCGAAGCUGGCAGGCUGGAGU
Molecule: ribosomal RNA, 573 nt
Filed under: uncultured organism
Description: bacterial SSU rRNA
Rfam family: Bacterial small subunit ribosomal RNA
Source: RNAcentral